GAAGAGAAAGGAGGAAGUAAAAAAGGAACGGAAAAAAGUAAAGAAGAAACAAAAUAAAAGAACGAAAAGGUUGAACAUGAAAGAAAGAAAGAAAGAAAGAAAGAGAGUUUUAGAGACGGAGUUCGGGAUUUCGUUCGCGGUUCUGAGUUCAAUGUUCUAUAAAAGUUAGCCUUGCUACUUUUGGAAAUCAGUAGAAUGUGGCUGUAAUUUUAUUAUAAAAAAGCUUUACAUUACAGGUUUUCUUCUAAAUCUUAUUUAAUCUAUUUUAUUUUGUUUGUUGGAGCAUAACCUGUAAAUUGCUAUAUUAUAAAAAUUAAGAUCUAUUAGGAA
Molecule: long non-coding RNA, 330 nt
Filed under: Nicotiana benthamiana
Lineage: Eukaryota; Viridiplantae; Streptophyta; Magnoliopsida; Solanales; Solanaceae
Description: long non-coding RNA (NBEN_LNC003159)
Source: RNAcentral